Molecule: ribosomal RNA, 560 nt
Filed under: Escherichia sp.
Lineage: Bacteria; Pseudomonadati; Pseudomonadota; Gammaproteobacteria; Enterobacterales; Enterobacteriaceae
Description: bacterial SSU rRNA
Rfam family: Bacterial small subunit ribosomal RNA
Source: RNAcentral
UUGACGGGGGCCCGCACAAGCGGUGGAGCAUGUGGUUUAAUUCGAUGCAACGCGAAGAACCUUACCUGGUCUUGACAUCCACAGAACUUUCCAGAGAUGGAUUGGUGCCUUCGGGAACUGUGAGACAGGUGCUGCAUGGCUGUCGUCAGCUCGUGUUGUGAAAUGUUGGGUUAAGUCCCGCAACGAGCGCAACCCUUAUCCUUUGUUGCCAGCGGUCCGGCCGGGAACUCAAAGGAGACUGCCAGUGAUAAACUGGAGGAAGGUGGGGAUGACGUCAAGUCAUCAUGGCCCUUACGACCAGGGCUACACACGUGCUACAAUGGCGCAUACAAAGAGAAGCGACCUCGCGAGAGCAAGCGGACCUCAUAAAGUGCGUCGUAGUCCGGAUUGGAGUCUGCAACUCGACUCCAUGAAGUCGGAAUCGCUAGUAAUCGUGGAUCAGAAUGCCACGGUGAAUACGUUCCCGGGCCUUGUACACACCGCCCGUCACACCAUGGGAGUGGGUUGCAAAAGAAGUAGGUAGCUUAACCUUCGGGAGGGCGCUUACCACUUUGUGAUUC